Molecule: ribosomal RNA, 1514 nt
Filed under: metagenome
Description: bacterial SSU rRNA
Rfam family: Bacterial small subunit ribosomal RNA
Source: RNAcentral
AGAGUUUUAUCCUGGCUCAGGACGAACGCUGGCGGCGUGCUUAACACAUGCAAGUCUAGGUAGAACGCACCUUCGGGUGUUAUUAAACUGGCGAACGGGUGAGUAACGUGUAGGUAAUUUGCCUUCGAGAGGGGAAUAGGCCCGUGAAAACGGGAUUAAUACCGCAUAAAGUUGUCCUACAUAAGUAGGAUAAUGAAAGGUGGGGAUCUUCGGACCCAUCGCUUGAAGAUAAGCCUGCAUCUGAUUAGCUAGUUGGUGAGGUAACUGCUCACCAAGGCAUCGAUCAGUAGCUGUUCUAAGAGGAAGAUCAGCCACAUUGGGACUGAGAUACGGCCCAGACUCCUACGGGAGGCAGCAGUGAGGAAUUUUGCGCAAUGGGGGCAACCCUGACGCAGCAACGCCGCGUGACCGAUUGAAGCUUUUAGGAGUGUAAAGGUCUGUCGUGAAGGAAGAAAUAGUCUGAGAAUAAUACGUUUAGACUUUGACGGUACUUCACAAGCAAGCUGCUAACUUCGUGCCAGCAGCCGCGGUAAUACGAGGGGAGCAAGCGUUGUCCGAAAUAACUGGGCGUAAAGGGUACGUAGGCCUUUUUACAAGUUUUCGGUGAAAGUCAUAGGCUCAACUUAUGAACUGCCGGAAAAACUGUAGAGAUUGAAUUCGGAAGGGGAAAGCGGAAUUCCUGGUGUAGCGGUGAAAUGCGUAGAUAUCAGGAGGAACACCAGUGGCGAAGGCGGCUUUCUGGUCCGAAAUUGACGCUGAGGUACUAAAGCGUGGGUAGCAAACAGGAUUAGAUACCCUGGUAGUCCACGCCCUAAACGAUGGAUACUUGGUGUCGGGAUGUUCGAUCGUCUCGGUGCCGUAGCUAACGUGUUAAGUAUCCCGCCUGGGGACUACGGUCGCAAGACUGAAACUCAAAGGAAUUGACGGGGGCCCGCACCAGCGGUGGAACAUGUGGUUUAAUUCGAUGCAACGCGAAGAACCUUACCUGGGCCUGACAUAUAUAUGAAGUAUGUAAGAAAUUAUGUAUUCUGCUUGCUUUUGUAGGUAGCAUAUAUACAGGUGAUGCAUGGCUGUCGUCAGCUCGUGUCGUGGGAUGUAGGGUUAAGUCCCUUAACGAGCGCAACCCUUACUUUUAGUUGCCAUCAGGUAAUGCUGGGGACUCUAGAAGGACUGCCGAGGUUAACUCGGAGGAAGGUGGGGAUGACGUCAAGUCAGUAUGUCCCUUAUGCCCAGGGCUACACACGUGUUACAAUGGCCGGUACAGAGUGUUGCUAAGUCGUGAGACCAUGCUAAUCACUUAAAGCCGGUCCCAGUUCGGAUAGGAGUCUGCAAUUCGACUCCUUGAAGUUGGAAUCGCUAGUAAUCGCAGAACAGCAUGCUGCGGUGAAUACGUUCCCGGGCCUUGUACACACCGCCCGUCACGCCAUGGAAGUUGGGAGUGCCCGAAGUUGCUGUCUAUACGGUGGAGGUAACUAAGGUAAGACCGAUGACUGGGGCGAAGUCGUAACAAGGUA